This 407-nucleotide ribosomal RNA is filed under the name Lysiphlebia japonica. RNAcentral describes it as "partial 16S ribosomal RNA". Lineage: Eukaryota; Metazoa; Arthropoda; Insecta; Hymenoptera; Braconidae. The record is from RNAcentral.
UUACGCUGUUAUCCCUAAGGUAAUUUAAUUUAAAAUUCUAAAUUUUAGGUUUAUAAAAUCAUUAAUUAAUGUUUUUUUAUUUUAAAGUUUUUUAAAUUAAAAAAUUACCCCAAUUAAAUAUUAAUUAAAAUUUAUAUUAUAAGUAUUAAUAAUUUUAUUUAAUAUAAAAUUCUAUAGGGUCUUCUCGUCUUUUAUUUAUAUUUAAGAAUUUUAACUUAAAUUUUAAUUUUAAUUUAAUUUUAUUUAUAUAGUUUAUAUUUCAUUUAAUCUUUCAUUCUAGUUUUCAAUUAAAAAACUAAUUAUUAUGCUACCUUUGUACAGUUAUUGAUACUGCAGCCAUUUAAAUUUCAUUGGGCAGAUUAGACUUAAAAUUAUUUUCAAUAAGACAUGUUUUUGUUAAACAGGCG